GGCGAAGUUAUGAAAGACAAGACUGCCUUUCCCAUCUCAUAAGACAAAAUGAAGAGGACUGUUGUUCAUCUACUUACAGGAACGUACUAAACACCUAUCAUGCAGAAGGCAGUGUGCUGAGGACCUCCCGGAGAAUAAGCCAAGCCGGAAAGUGAGAUCCCUGCCAGGAGCAGGAAGUACUAGACACCUGUGCUCCAGAAGUAAAG
Molecule: long non-coding RNA, 206 nt
Filed under: Fukomys damarensis (Damara mole-rat)
Lineage: Eukaryota; Metazoa; Chordata; Mammalia; Rodentia; Bathyergidae
Description: lncRNA (ENSFDAG00000031097.1)
Source: RNAcentral